CCUACGGGGGGCAGCAGUGAGGAAUAUUGGUCAAUGGACGAGAGCCUGAACCAGCCAAGUAGCGUGAAGGAUGACGGCCCUACGGGUUGUAAACUUCUUUUAUAGGGGAAUAAAAUGUUCCACGUGUGGGAUUUUGUAUGUACCAUAUGAAUAAGGAUCGGUUAAAUCCGUGCCAGCAGCCGCGGUAAUACGGAGGAUCCGAGCGUUAUCCGGAUUUAUUGGGUUAAAAGGGUGCGUAGGCGGUCCGUAAAGUCAGCGGGAAAAGCCCGGGGCUCAACCCCGGCGAGCCGUUGAAAAUGUCGUACUCGAGACGGCGAGAAGUACGCGGAAUGCGCGGUGUAGCGGUGAAAUGCAUAGAUAUCGCGCAGAACUCCGAUUGCGAAGGCAGCGUACCGGCGCCGGACUGACGCUGAGGCACGAAAGCGUGGGUAUCGAACAGGAUUAGAUACCCUUGUAGUC
Molecule: ribosomal RNA, 459 nt
Filed under: uncultured bacterium
Lineage: Bacteria
Description: partial 16S ribosomal RNA
Rfam family: Bacterial small subunit ribosomal RNA
Source: RNAcentral